Molecule: unclassified non-coding RNA, 433 nt
Filed under: soil metagenome
Description: partial contains 5.8S ribosomal RNA, internal transcribed spacer 2, and large subunit ribosomal RNA
Rfam family: 5.8S ribosomal RNA (bases 1-120)
Source: RNAcentral
GAUGAAGAACGUAGCGAAAUGCGAUACGUAAUGUGAAUUGCAGAAUUCAGUGAAUCAUCGAAUCUUUGAACGCAUAUUGCGCUCUCUGGUAUUCCGGAGAGCAUGCUUGUUUGAGUAUCAGUAAACACCUCAACUUCCAUAUCUUUUUUGAAAUGGGAGUUGGACUUGAGUGAUCCCAACGCUUUUCCUCACCGAAAAGUGGCGGGUUACUUGAAAUGCAGGUGCAGCUGGACUUUUCUCUGAGCUAUAAGCAUAUCUAUUUAGUCUGCCUAAAAAACAGAUUAUUACCUUUGCUGCAGCUAACAUAAAGGAGAUUAGUUCUUGUGCUGACUGAUGCAGGAUUCACAAAGACAGGCUUCGGCCGACUUUGUAAACUAGAUCUCAAAUCAAGUAAGACUACCCGCUGAACUUAAGCAUAUCAAUAAGCGGAGGA